Molecule: ribosomal RNA, 395 nt
Filed under: uncultured bacterium
Lineage: Bacteria
Description: bacterial SSU rRNA
Rfam family: Bacterial small subunit ribosomal RNA
Source: RNAcentral
ACCAAGGCUACGACGGGUCGCUGGUCUGAGAGGACGACCAGCCACACUGGCACUGAGAUACGGGCCAGACUCCUACGGGAGGCAGCAGUGAGGAAUAUUGCGCAAUGGGGGAAACCCUGACGCAGCAACGCCGCGUGUGGGAAGAAGGCCUUCGGGUCGUAAACCACUUUUGCACGGGACGAAAAAGGGAUAUCGAACAAAUAUCCCCGAUGACGGUACCGUGAGAAUAAGCCACGGCUAACUCUGUGCCAGCAGCCGCGGUAAGACAGACGGUGGCAAGCGUUGUUCGGAAUUACUGGGCGUAAAGAGUCUGUAGGUGGUUUGUCAAGUCUUUGGUGAAAGGCCGUAGCUUAACUAUGGGAAUGCCAAAGAGACUGGCAGGCUGGAGGCUGGGA